UGGGGGGCUACUGUUCAACCUACUGUAUACUCACUAACUAUAUUAUCUAUCAUAAUAGAUAACUAUUAAUUACUUCCAACAAAUUUCAUGGGUGCAGAACAACACAAUUUAGUAGGGUGUGGUAUAUAAUCAUUACUGCCCUGACAUCAUCUAAUCCAAAAGAAAUCUAGGCAUUUUAUUGUCUAGUAGUCUAGAUUGUAGACAGGUUAACAGGUGCUUAUUUCAGAAUCAUCAAGGAAGACACCAAAAAUACACUUAAAAAUGUCUCAUACAUAAAUUUCAUUAGUUAGUG
This 292-nucleotide long non-coding RNA is filed under the name Bos taurus (domestic cattle). RNAcentral's name for it is "long non-coding RNA NONBTAT019837". Lineage: Eukaryota; Metazoa; Chordata; Mammalia; Artiodactyla; Bovidae. The record is from RNAcentral.